This is a non-coding RNA of Poecilia reticulata (guppy), 1515 nucleotides long. NCBI's taxonomy places the organism in Eukaryota, Metazoa, Chordata, Actinopteri, Cyprinodontiformes, Poeciliidae. The record is from RefSeq and is a predicted model, not a curated record.
AGGGGCGUGGCAACAGGUGAGAGCCUCGACCAGGAACCAGGAAGUAAACAACGAUGGCUGGCUUGGAAAACGUUACGUGUAAACUUUAAAAGAAAACAUUUUUACUAGCUAGUUUCACACUUUUUUAAAAACUGUUGGAACGGCGUUCUCUUUCUCUGUUGAGAAAGUUAGACUACAUCGCGAUGACAAAGUUUUAAAAUCCAACUUUGAAGUUCUCCAGGAUGUCAGCGCAACAGGCCGGGUUAAGGCUUCACCCUGGCAUUAUUGCAUCAGUGAUCCUGGUUUGCGCGGCGGCAGUCGCUGCUGCCGUAUUGAUCAUCCGAAAAUACUGCUUCCCAUUCAAUGAGGCGACAUACAGAUACUCGUUGUUGCGGCGCAUGGAGGAUCAGGAGUCGGCGGUGACAGAGGAAGAUGGCAACAGGGGGCCCUCCACUGUGGGAGAGGAGUCAGACGAGGAGCUACUAGAAUAAAUCUCCAACUGGGACGCAGCCGCACUGACUGGAAAGGAGUUCAUUAUCGACGGAUUGUGCGGUACAAAGGCCUGCAGCUGACUAUUAUUUACAGACGACCAUUUUAACUUCCUGCUGCUCAUCUUAAAAUCGAUCCUGACCCUCACUGCUGUGAUUGUGCUCCUUCUAAUCUUUUUCCUGACUUCAUUUGAUGCACAGGAGAAGGCACAAAAUGUUCUUGGGUUCAAUAAAAUUCACACAACAUUCACAACAGGCACAGCUAAAGUAGUACCAAAGUGCAGCCUCUCUGCAGUCUGUCCCUCGGACCACUUUGCUUUUAAAAUCCGGAGUGGAGCUGCUAAUGUGGUUGGUCCAAAAAUCUGCUUUGAUGGUAAAAACAUUAUGAGUCACAUUAUGAACAAUGUGGGACCAGGACUAAACAUUGUGGUGGUAAAUGGUAAACUCUGAUUUAUAAAGGUGAGAAUGGAGUUGUAGAAAAGUUUGGCUAUCUUAACAUGAUUAGUGGAAACUCGGCAGACAUCUUGGCAUACCUGAACGAGAUAAAGCCAGGAAUGAUUGUGCUGGUGGCCUCCUUUGAUGAUGCAGCACCAAAGAUGACAGAUGAAAUAAGGCAGAUGUUUGUCGAGAUGGGAAGCACUUUGAUCGGCUCUGUUAAGCGGAGAGACAACUGGGUGUUUGCUGGGAGAACGGGGAUAAAAAUCAAAAGCUUCUUUGAGCAGCGAGCUGAGAACAAUAGGGAAACAAACAUUUUCGAUGGAUGGCCAGAGAUGGUGGAGGUGGGCGGCUGUUUCCCAAGAACCACAAGUGUCUAAAAGUUUUCAUGAAUGAACUUUGAAGUUUUCCUUGCAAAAGACUUGAAGCUAUGGAAAGUAUUUUAUUCUGCAGAAUUCAACAAAACACUCUAAAUGCACGCUUACCCUUUCUUAUGUGGUGGUCGCUGCAGUGGGCAGCUAUUCAGAAAUGGUCUGCUUGUGUUAUUGAACUCUAGCAUGUCACUUCCUAGACCAGGCACUCUAAGUCCACAUAAACUUUAUUUGCAAAUAUA